CAGAACAGGUGCAAACAAGGGCAGCAGCAGUGCAAGCUUCCCCACAUUGCUCUGCUAAUGUACCUGCACCAUGAGCUGGAGGAAAGCUUCCAC
This 93-nucleotide small RNA is filed under the name Crocodylus porosus (Australian saltwater crocodile). Its description in RNAcentral is "TUC338 (ENSCPRG00005008331.1)". The record is from RNAcentral. Lineage: Eukaryota; Metazoa; Chordata; Crocodylia; Crocodylidae.